CUUAGCCAUGAGACAGACACAAUUUCAUGGAAGCUUACCACCUCCCAGAAGUUCACGGUUAAGUCUCUAUAUGAUAAGUUGAUUGAGGGGACCGCGCUAGACAUGGCUAGGGGGCUAUGGAAGGCCGACAUUCCACUAAAGAUCAAAACUUUUAUGUGGAAAUUGUUUCGCAACCGUCUCCCAACCUCGGAUAACGUGGCCAAACGAAACGGGCUGAUGGACGGAACAUGUGCCAUUUGCGGCUUAGGGGAAAAUGCAAACCACCUGUUCUUCGGUUGUUUUCUUGCUAGAUUUGCGUGA
RNAcentral lists this ribosomal RNA (300 nucleotides) under Triticum aestivum (bread wheat). RNAcentral's name for it is "partial small subunit ribosomal RNA". The record is from RNAcentral. Lineage: Eukaryota; Viridiplantae; Streptophyta; Magnoliopsida; Poales; Poaceae.